GAAGACAACUUCGAACUGCUCCAUUGAAAAUAAACUUCGUUCCCUUGGAGUUCAUGAGGCCAAUGAGGUCUGAUCUUCAUCUCAGUAAAGUCCAGGGACGCCAGGUGGCCCGUCCACGGUUCCCAGUUUAUUCCCUAAGAGCCAGGAAGGCGAUGAUGCUGACAAUGUAUCCCUUGCCCAUCUGGAGGCUGGACAUGGCAAAGGUGAGGAUAUAGCCUUCAAUGUCAGCCAGAGGAGGAGUCCAUGUCAACAUGGCUGAAUCCAUGGUCACAUCCGAAGCCUGCAGGUCCUUGGGAGCGUCGAUCUCUGUCAGAUACAUCACAGCAGACGUCGCAUCAAUCAUUCGUGCAGCUACGUAAUAUUGUACCUCAUUGUAGUUUGGAUGGUGGGUGCCGUAAAGCGUGAAAUUGCUAUCAUAAUUAUAUUUUACUUAACAUGCAUGUUGGCUUAACAGUAUUCAGUUACCUUCUGUUGCUGAACCAGUUAGUAGCCAAUCUAGAAAACAUUUACCAUCAGGCAAACAUUUAAAAUGUGUUUAAAAUAAUAUAUAAAAGCAUAUACUUAUGUAUAUUUCAUUACAUUUAAAUAAUAUGAAUUAUUAAAAAUAACAACAAUAAAUGCAUACUUUUGAAAACAAAUACUUUUAUGCGUAUAUUGGGCCACUUGGUGUGUCCAAAAAUGUCUCAAAUGAAAAUAUUAUUUACUAAGUCUGACCCCUGAUGGAUAAAACUAGACAUAAUGAUAUAUAUCAAAGAAUGCGAAAAUCUGAAAAAUAAUGACUACUACCUUAAAAUACCCAAUAGUUAUAUAUGUUUUCAUUGGUAUAAUAAGGCACUUUGUUAAUCCAAAAAUGUUUCAAAUAAAAAUAUUAUAUUCUAAGACUAAAACGAGACAUUACACAGUACAGCUUAUCACUUUCCUCCGGCACUGUUCCCCUAGCAUUCAAAAAAGCGGUUAUUCAUCCUCUGCUCAAAAGACCUAACCUCGAUCCUGACCUCAUGGUAAACUACCGACCGGUCUCCCA
Long non-coding RNA from Entelurus aequoreus (snake pipefish), 1024 nucleotides. RefSeq lists it as uncharacterized. NCBI's taxonomy places the organism in Eukaryota, Metazoa, Chordata, Actinopteri, Syngnathiformes, Syngnathidae. The transcript has 4 exons. The record is from RefSeq and is a predicted model, not a curated record.